UACUUGGGAGAAAGUGAAGGAAGAAAUGCAGGAUGCUAUUUCACCGGAGGUCUGAAGCCCCUUCAAGGGUGCUUGAGGAUACAGUAUGAAAUUAACUGCCUGAGUCAAAAAAAUGGAACCUGUUUGACAGUGUCUGCUACCAAGUUUCUGCAUUUCAGAGAGAUGAGAAACACCACCUGGGUGCUACUGAAGUGAGUGUGAAGAUCCUGGUGAUGUUACUGGAAUCCUGCUGCAAAGAACUCCACAGCCAUUCCAAAUAAAGAACCUUCUCUAGAGUGUUUAUUGCAGUUUUUUGGAAUUAAACAUUCAUUUUAACUUGU
Long non-coding RNA from Malurus melanocephalus (red-backed fairy wren), 320 nucleotides. RefSeq lists it as uncharacterized. Lineage: Eukaryota; Metazoa; Chordata; Aves; Passeriformes; Maluridae. The record is from RefSeq and is a predicted model, not a curated record. The transcript has 4 exons.